RNAcentral lists this unclassified non-coding RNA (375 nucleotides) under uncultured bacterium. Its description in RNAcentral is "contains 16S-23S intergenic spacer region". The record is from RNAcentral.
UCCGGCUUAUCACCGGCGGUUUCUUUAGAGUGCCCAACUAAAUGAUGGCAACUAAAGACGAGGGUUGCGCUCGUUGCGGGACUUAACCCAACAUCUCACGACACGAGCUGACGACAGCCAUGCACCACCUGUGCACUGGUCCCGAAGGACACCGUAUCUCUACGGCUUUUCCCUACAUGUCAAGCCCAGGUAAGGUUCUUCGCGUCGCAUCGAAUUAAGCCACAUGCUCCGCCGCUUGUGCGGGCCCCCGUCAAUUCCCUUGAGUUUUAAUCUUGCGACCGUACUUCCCAGGCGGCAUGUUUAACGCGUUGGCUACGCCACAAAAGGGGUCGAUUCCUUUUACAGCAAACAUGCACCGUUUACGGCUAGGACUAC